AGUGAACGCUGGCGGUAGGCCUAACACAUGCAAGUCGAACGGCAGCACAGGAGAGCUUGCUCUCUGGGUGGCGAGUGGCGGACGGGUGAGGAAUACAUCGGAAUCUACUCUGUCGUGGGGGAUAACGUAGGGAAACUUACGCUAAUACCGCAUACGACCUACGGGUGAAAGCAGGGGACCUUCGGGCCUUGCGCGAUUGAAUGAGCCGAUGUCGGAUUAGCUAGUUGGCGGGGUAAAGGCCCACCAAGGCGACGAUCCGUAGCUGGUCUGAGAGGAUGAUCAGCCACACGGGAACUGAGACACGGUCCAGACUCCUACGGGAGGCAGCAGUUGGGAAUAUUGGACAAUGGGCGCAAGCCUGAUCCAGCCAUACCGCGUGGGUGAAGAAGGCCUUCGGGUUGUAAAGCCCUUUUGUUGGGAAAGAAAUCCAGCUGGCUAAUACCCGGUUGGGAUGACGGUACCCAAAGAAUAAGCACCGGCUAACUUCGUGCCAGCAGCCGCCGUAA
This 506-nucleotide ribosomal RNA is filed under the name uncultured bacterium. RNAcentral's name for it is "partial 16S ribosomal RNA". It matches the Rfam family "Bacterial small subunit ribosomal RNA", at positions 29 to 523 of the family's 1533-position model. The record is from RNAcentral.